RNAcentral lists this ribosomal RNA (250 nucleotides) under uncultured bacterium. RNAcentral describes it as "partial 16S ribosomal RNA". It matches the Rfam family "Bacterial small subunit ribosomal RNA", at positions 779 to 1026 of the family's 1533-position model. The record is from RNAcentral.
UAGAUACCCUGGUAGUCCACGCCCUAAACGAUGUACACUAGUUGUUGGGGUGCUAGCCAUCUCAGUAAUGCAGCUAACGCAUUAAGUGUACCGCCUGGGGAGUACGGUCGCAAGAUUAAAACUCAAAGGAAUAGACGGGGACCCGCACAAGCGGUGGAGCAUGUGGUUUAAUUCGAAGAUACGCGAAGAACCUUACCUGGGCUUGAUAUCCUAAGAACCUUAUAGAGAUAUGAGGGUGCUAGCUUGCUAG